UGGCGGACGGGUGAGUAACGCGUAGGUAUCUAUCCUUGGGUGGGGGGACAACAGUGGGAAACUACUGCUAAUACCGCAUGAUGACCGAGGUCCAAAGGUCGCAAGACCGCCUGGGGAGGAGCCUGCGUACGAUUAGCUAGUUGGUGGGGUAAAGGCCUACCAAGGCUACGAUCGUUAGCUGGUCUGAGAGGAUGAUCAGCCACAUUGGGACUGAGACACGGCCCAA
Molecule: ribosomal RNA, 226 nt
Filed under: uncultured bacterium
Lineage: Bacteria
Description: partial 16S ribosomal RNA
Rfam family: Bacterial small subunit ribosomal RNA
Source: RNAcentral